AGGGCACCACCAGGAGUGGAGCCUGCGGCUUAAUUUGACUCAACACGGGAAAUCUCACCAGGCCCGGACACCGGAAGGAUUGACAGAUUGAGAGCUCUUUCUUGAUUCGGUGGGUGGUGGUGCAUGGCCGUUCUUAGUUGGUGGAGCGAUUUGUCUGGUUAAUUCCGAUAACGAACGAGACUCUGGCCUACUAACUAGAUGAUUCCUCAUUUAUUGGGGAGUCACUGCUUCUUAGAGGGACGGGCGGCGUUUAGCCGCACGAGAAUGAGCAAUAACAGGUCUGUGAUGCCCUUAGAUGUUCUGGGCUGCACGCGCGCUACACUGAAGGAAUCAGCGUGUCCUCCCCACCCUGGCAAGGGCGGGUAACCCGUUGGAACUCCUUCGUGAUGGGGAUUGGAGAUUGUAAUUAUUCUCCAUGAACGAGGAAUUCCCAGUAGGCGCGAGUCAUCAGCUUGCGUCGAUUACGUCCCUGCCCUUUGUACACACCGCCCGUCGCUACUACCGAUCGAGUGAUUUAGU
RNAcentral lists this ribosomal RNA (519 nucleotides) under uncultured eukaryote. RNAcentral's name for it is "SSU rRNA". It matches the Rfam family "Eukaryotic small subunit ribosomal RNA", at positions 1161 to 1702 of the family's 1831-position model. The record is from RNAcentral.